RNAcentral lists this long non-coding RNA (332 nucleotides) under Lathyrus oleraceus (garden pea). RNAcentral's name for it is "Pisum sativum (pea) long non-coding RNA (PSAT_LNC004028)". Lineage: Eukaryota; Viridiplantae; Streptophyta; Magnoliopsida; Fabales; Fabaceae. The record is from RNAcentral.
AUGUUGUCAGUUUGGACAAUUAGAAUAAUCAAUAGAUUCAGUAGAGAUCAAUUGAAAGAGAUUAACAUUUAUUAAUAAAUAUAAAAGGGGAUAUUUUGAUAACAUUAAUAAUUGAUCGAUUGGUCUAGUAGUAAGAAAUAUCAAAGAAUGAUAUUUUCUUUCUAAUUUUUCUAACCACAUAUUAUUAUAUUAUAUUAUAUAUGUAUAUGUUGUGGUGGAAGAGAAAAGAAAAGAAAAAGAUAGAAAACUAGCAGGAAGGAAACAAAGAAAAGAAAAAGGAAAGGAAUGGGAGGAAGAAGAAGAGGAAGAAGGACAGGAAAGCUCAUGGAAAU